This is an RNA transcript of Fragaria vesca subsp. vesca, 1192 nucleotides long. RefSeq lists it as uncharacterized. Lineage: Eukaryota; Viridiplantae; Streptophyta; Magnoliopsida; Rosales; Rosaceae. The record is from RefSeq and is a predicted model, not a curated record. The transcript has 6 exons.
GCUUUAAUAUGUUUGAGUUCGAAUGAUGAAGAGGAUCAAAGUGACAUCCCAAAAGCUCUUUUUGGUCUCCAAGCAAUCAUCAUCAGGAUGUAUCUAUCAUUUGAUCGUUACACAUGACUGCAUGCCAGGAAUGACAGGCGCUCAUCUCAUCAUAAUGAUUAAGAUACUAUAUAAUCUGUUGCCAUGUGUAUGAUCCCUUUUUGGUGCGGCUGGGACGUGUGAAUACCUACAAUAGUGAUACAUGACUAGAAUACUGGAUGUCUUUUGGAUGUUUAGCCACCACCUUCAUUUAUUGCAACAAUUCAGGAGUACCUGAAAAGCAACAUUAAGGGACUGGUGAGACAAUGUUCCUGGACCGACCAGCUUUUCUUUGAGAGAAAUCUCUUGGAGAUGGAAGAGUUGGCUUGGAGAAUGCCAAGAUUUCAAAGGACGACCUCCUUUCCCUUGCUAAGAAGGAUGAUAAAAGUUACCCUUAAUCUGUAACACCUAUACUUUUUAACGCUACCAGAACGUCAGUGCUGGUGGCCAUAUUAAUACGACAUGUUCUACUACAUAUAUUGCGAAUCAUAUGCAAUCGGAGUAUUGUACUUCAUUGUCUAGCCCUCAAAGCUUACUACUCAAACUAGCAUGAAUACAUCAAAGACUUGAAACCUGAAAUGAGCUUUUGAAACCCGUAGCAACGCGGGGGCACGAAUAAACUCAGAAGGAGGCUCCAUCACAAAUAGGCCAACAACUACCAUUUGUGAGGCAAGAUUGAGAUCGAGAAAGGGCAUGUUAAGGCGAGAAAAGAUACAGCCUUGUUCAAGGAAAUGGAAAACCAAGUUUAGGAGGUUGAUCUACUUUCAUCCUACUUUUUCCUCUGCCUUUGAAAAUUUUACUGUUUAUAAAACCACUAGAGUUUCCAGCCUACACUUUUGGGAUAUGUUUCAAACGCUGUUUGAUUUUACUUUGAAUCUCGAUAAAUAGAGCAAAGAUCAUGGAUCAUUUUCGGGGUUUAUUUUACAAUGUUUUCACUUUUAGACCAUUCUUGAUUUCAUGAAUUCAUAAUUCUUCUAUAUAUGAUCACUUUCAACAGCUUAUGUUAUGUUCGGAAUGAAGUGAUCUGCACUAAGACUUACCUAAGAUAAGAAUGGUUGUUUCCACACUCUAAAUCACAAGCCAUAUGUGGCCAGAGUUUUGAUGUAAAAAGAAA